CAUACCCCAGUUCAGGCGUGGCUACCCGCUGAGUUUAAGCAUAUCAAUAAGCGG
This 54-nucleotide ribosomal RNA is filed under the name Eleocharis cellulosa. RNAcentral describes it as "partial 28S ribosomal RNA". The record is from RNAcentral. Lineage: Eukaryota; Viridiplantae; Streptophyta; Magnoliopsida; Poales; Cyperaceae.